Molecule: long non-coding RNA, 563 nt
Filed under: Saimiri boliviensis boliviensis (Bolivian squirrel monkey)
Lineage: Eukaryota; Metazoa; Chordata; Mammalia; Primates; Cebidae
Description: lncRNA (ENSSBOG00000036789.1)
Source: RNAcentral
GGAUGGUCACGCGCUCAGCAGGCCAGCCCACGUUUCCGGGCCGAGCGGCUGGGAAAGCCCCAGUGCCAGGCCCUCCCCGCCCAGUCUCCCUUCCCCCUCUCAGGGCUGGCCUGGCUGGACCACACCUGGGCUGUGGCCACCUGCGCCCCUUUUCUCAGCCUUUUCCUGCUCGGGUCUCCUGGGACACUCCAGCACCCCAAGACAUGAGUGAGGGCCAGCAGACUCCCCCUGCAAAGAGGGCCCCGGUACGGAAGCCCUCGGAGGCAUCAGCCCUUCAUCCUGGGGCAGAGGUGGUUCCUGUGCUUCAUUUGGGGUGUGCGUACGUGAAGACACAGCCAGCACCCCUGGGGCAGGUGAGACCAGGACGGGGAAGGCCACAGGGCAGGCAGGAGUGAGCGCCCGUUGGGUGCCCCGAGCAGGCCUGCGUGCGCUUAAGAACCAGCCUGGGAUCCCUUGAAUACAUGCGUGCCGAAGUCCUAAAAGCUAGUGGGAGCAGCUGAACCUUUCCUGACAUCGCAGAAGGCAGCAGGAGGAGCCCGCACACCGAGGGGCUAAGAUCCAAA